AUUGAACGCUGGCGGCAGGCCUAACACAUGCAAGUCGAACGGUAGCACAGGAGAGCUUGCUCUCUGGGUGACGAGUGGCGGACGGGUGAGUAAUGCAUGGGGAGCUGCUCAAUCGAGGGGGAUACCAGCUGGAAACGGCUGCUAAUACCGCAUACGCCCUGAGGGGGAAAGGUGGGGACCUUCGGGCCUACCGCGAUUGGAUGCACCCAUGUGGGAUUAGCUAGUUGGUGAGGUAACGGCUCACCAAGGCGACGAUCUCUAGCUGGUCUGAGAGGAUGACCAGCCACACUGGAACUGAGACACGGUCCAGACUCCUACGGGAGGCAGCAGUGGGGAAUAUUGCACAAUGGGGGAAACCCUGAUGCAGCCAUGCCGCGUGUGUGAAGAAGGCCUUAGGGUUGUAAAGCACUUUCAGCGAGGAGGAAAGGUGGCUAGCUAAUACCUAGUUGCUGUGACGUUACUCGCAGAAGAAGCACC
This 477-nucleotide ribosomal RNA is filed under the name uncultured bacterium. RNAcentral's name for it is "bacterial SSU rRNA". It matches the Rfam family "Bacterial small subunit ribosomal RNA", at positions 30 to 494 of the family's 1533-position model. The record is from RNAcentral.